GAUGAACGCUGGCGGCGUGCCUAAUACAUGCAAGUCGAGCGAACAGACGAGGAGCUUGCUCCUCUGACGUUAGCGGCGGACGGGUGAGUAACACGUGGAUAACCUACCUAUAAGACUGGGAUAACUUCGGGAAACCGGAGCUAAUACCGGAUAACAUGUUGAACCGCAUGGUUCAACAGUGAAAGACGGUUUUGCUGUCACUUAUAGAUGGAUCCGCGUCGCAUUAGCUAGUUGGUAAGGUAACGGCUUAACAAGGCAACGAUGCGUAGCCGACCUGAGAGGGUGAUAGGCGACACGGGAAGUGAGACACGGUCAAGAAUCCUACGGGAGGAAGCAGUAGGGAAUCUUCCGCAAUGGGAGAAAGCAUGACGGAGCAACGCCGAGUGAGUGAAGAAGGUCUUCGGAUCGUAAAACUCUGUUAUUAGGGAAGAACAAAUGUGUAAGUAACUAUGCACGUCUUGACGGUACCUAAUCAGAAAGCCACGGCUAACUACGUG
Molecule: ribosomal RNA, 497 nt
Filed under: uncultured bacterium
Lineage: Bacteria
Description: partial 16S ribosomal RNA
Rfam family: Bacterial small subunit ribosomal RNA
Source: RNAcentral